This is a long non-coding RNA of Tachysurus vachellii, 283 nucleotides long. RefSeq lists it as uncharacterized. NCBI's taxonomy places the organism in Eukaryota, Metazoa, Chordata, Actinopteri, Siluriformes, Bagridae. The transcript has 3 exons. The record is from RefSeq and is a predicted model, not a curated record.
ACUGUUAAUGAUGGUGGACAAAAGAACCUUAUAAACUUGAUCUAAUUCACACUGAAUCACAGGAAAUGUUCUUCUGUCUCUGAGAAAAUCUGCCAACACUCCACAAGAGUUUUCCAGACAUCAUGUCCCUCCUUUAUAUUUCCAUCUUAUGGGUCUGUGCCUGUGUGGACAGUGCAGAAUCUCUGGUUACUGUAUCAGCUCCAGUGGGUUCCACAGUCAUCCUGCCAUGUAAACUGACUGAAGAGUUUAAACCAACAUCACUUAUUAGGUGGAAGAUCAACAG